ACCUGGGUAGCUCAAUCAGUUGAGCAUCAGACUUCAGCUCAGAUCAGGAUCUCAUGAUUUGUGGGUUUGAGCCCCACAUCAGGCU
Molecule: transfer RNA, 85 nt
Filed under: Felis catus (domestic cat)
Lineage: Eukaryota; Metazoa; Chordata; Mammalia; Carnivora; Felidae
Also listed under: 4 other names
Rfam family: tRNA
About the family: Transfer RNA (tRNA) molecules are approximately 80 nucleotides in length. Their secondary structure includes four short double-helical elements and three loops (D, anti-codon, and T loops).
Source: Rfam by way of RNAcentral